AGCCUGAUGCAGCCAUGCCGCGUGUGUGAAGAAGGCCUUCGGGUUGUAAAGCACUUUCAGUCGUGAGGAAGGUGGUGGAGUUAAUAGCUCCAUCACUUGACGUUAGCGACAGAAGAAGCACCGGCUAACUCCGUGCCAGCAGCCGCGGUAAUACGGAGGGUGCGAGCGUUAAUCGGAAUUACUGGGCGUAAAGCGCAUGCAGGUGGUUUGUUAAGUCAGAUGUGAAAGCCCGGGGCUCAACCUCGGAAUAGCAUUUGAAACUGGCAGACUAGAGUACUGUAGAGGGGGGUAGAAUUUCAGGUGUAGCGGUGAAAUGCGUAGAGAUCUGAAGGAAUACCGGUGGCGAAGGCGGCCCCCUGGACAGAUACUGACACUCAGAUGCGAAAGCGUGGGGAGCAAACAGGAUUAGAUACCCUGGUAGUCCACGCCGUAAACGAUGUCUACUUGGAGGUUGUGGCCUUGAGCCGUGGCUUUCGGAGCUAACGCGUUAAGUAGACCGCCUGGGGAG
RNAcentral lists this ribosomal RNA (508 nucleotides) under Vibrio sp. 1Bf2S25. RNAcentral's name for it is "bacterial SSU rRNA". It matches the Rfam family "Bacterial small subunit ribosomal RNA", at positions 380 to 880 of the family's 1533-position model. Lineage: Bacteria; Pseudomonadati; Pseudomonadota; Gammaproteobacteria; Vibrionales; Vibrionaceae. The record is from RNAcentral.